Molecule: ribosomal RNA, 428 nt
Filed under: uncultured bacterium
Lineage: Bacteria
Description: bacterial SSU rRNA
Rfam family: Bacterial small subunit ribosomal RNA
Source: RNAcentral
UGGGGAAUAUUGGACAAUGGGGGCAACCCUGAUCCAGCAAUGCCGCGUGUGUGAAGAAGGCCUUCGGGUUGUAAAGCACUUUAGGCCGGGAAGAAGGUGUGUAGUUUAAGAGAUGAUACAUUUGACUGUACCGGCAGAAUAAGCACCGGCUAACUCUGUGCCAGCAGCCGCGGUAAUACAGAGGGUGCAAGCGUUAAUCGGAGUUACUGGGCGUAAAGGGCGCGUAGGUGGUUUUUUAAGAUAGAGGUGAAAUCCCUGGGCUUAACCUAGGAACUGCCUCUAUGACUGAGGAACUGGAGUAUUGUAGAGGGUAGUGGAAUUUCCGGUGUAGCGGUGAAAUGCGUAGAGAUCGGAAGGAACACCAGUGGCGAAGGCGGCUACCUGGACAAAUACUGACACUGAGGCGCGAGAGCGUGGGUAGCAAACAG